AUGGAGAGAGAAGAGAGCCAGCCCAGCCGACCUGGGUCUGUCCAUCUAGGCCGGCCCAUUUGCGCACCUAGCCUAGCCCACCUAAACCCUCCUCUUAACCCUAGCCUGCACCCAGCGCCCGACCCUCAACUCCCUCGAUCCCCUCCUGCUUCCCUCGCGCCGCCACUCUUCUCGUUCUCCAUGCCCAGCUCCAUCCCCGCAGCCCUCCUCGCUCGACCCCAACACCAGCGCCGCCACCCCUCGUCCUUCCCUAUCCCCUUGUCCUCCCCAUUCGCCUCCUCCCUCGACUGCGCCGACCCACCGGAGCCGUUAUCGGCUGCUCCAUUCCCCACCUUCACCCUCUUCGUCAACUGCUAG
RNAcentral lists this ribosomal RNA (357 nucleotides) under Triticum aestivum (bread wheat). RNAcentral describes it as "partial small subunit ribosomal RNA". Lineage: Eukaryota; Viridiplantae; Streptophyta; Magnoliopsida; Poales; Poaceae. The record is from RNAcentral.